This 660-nucleotide ribosomal RNA is filed under the name Salmonella enterica subsp. enterica serovar Agona. Its description in RNAcentral is "bacterial LSU rRNA". It matches the Rfam family "Bacterial large subunit ribosomal RNA", at positions 1 to 692 of the family's 2925-position model. Lineage: Bacteria; Pseudomonadati; Pseudomonadota; Gammaproteobacteria; Enterobacterales; Enterobacteriaceae. The record is from RNAcentral.
GGGUUGUGAGGUUAAGCGACUAAGCGUACACGGUGGAUGCCCUGGCAGUCAGAGGCGAUGAAGGGCGUGCUAAUCUGCGAUAAGCGCCGGUAAGGUGAUAUGAACCGUUAUAACCGGCGAUACCCGAAUGGGGAAACCCAGUGUGACUCGUCACACUAUCAUUAACUGAAUCCAUAGGUUAAUGAGGCGAACCGGGGGAACUGAAACAUCUAAGUACCCCGAGGAAAAGAAAUCAACCGAGAUUCCCCCAGUAGCGGCGAGCGAACGGGGAGGAGCCCAGAGCCUGAAUCAGCAUGUGUGUUAGUGGAAGCGUCUGGAAAGGCGCGCGAUACAGGGUGACAGCCCCGUACACAAAAGCGCAUGUGCUGUGAGCUCGAUGAGUAGGGCGGGACACGUGGUAUCCUGUCUGAAUAUGGGGGGACCAUCCUCCAAGGCUAAAUACUCCUGACUGACCGAUAGUGAACCAGUACCGUGAGGGAAAGGCGAAAAGAACCCCGGCGAGGGGAGUGAAAAAGAACCUGAAACCGUGUACGUACAAGCAGUGGGAGCACAGGUUUACCUGUGUGACUGCGUACCUUUUGUAUAAUGGGUCAGCGACUUAUAUUCUGUAGCAAGGUUAACCGAAUAGGGGAGCCGGAGGGAAACCGAGUCUUAAUUGGG